AGCUUUGCGCAGUGGCAGUAUCAUAGCCAAUGAGGUUUAUCCAAGAUGAGAUUAUCGCUAAUUGAAAACUUUCCCCACUACCCCGCCAUGAUGACAUGCAAAUAGAGUCGGCAUUGACAAUUUUUGGCAGUCCCUAGGGA
This is a small nuclear RNA of Cebus imitator (Panamanian white-faced capuchin), 140 nucleotides long. Its record names the gene U4. It matches the Rfam family "U4 spliceosomal RNA". Rfam says of the family: U4 small nuclear RNA (U4 snRNA) is a component of the major U2-dependent spliceosome. The structure of U4 snRNA from yeast and human has been reported. The record is from Ensembl. Lineage: Eukaryota; Metazoa; Chordata; Mammalia; Primates; Cebidae.